UAAGGUGUAACCUGCCCAGUGAUCCUUAUAUUUAUAGAUUAAAAUUCUAUUAAUAGGAUUAAAAGGACGCGGUAACCUUGACCGUGAUAAUGUAGCAUAAUCACUCGCCAUUUAAUUGAUGGAUAGUAUGAAUGGUUGAACGAAUAUUCCGCUGUCUUAAAAAGAAUUAAUAAAAAUUGAAAUAAUAGUUAAGAUGCUAUUUUAAACUGUAAGACGAAAAGACCCUAUAGAGCUUAACUAUAAACUUCUUAUUAACAAAAAGAAAAAUAAUUCUUAUCAUAAGAAGUUUGGUAGUUUAGUUGGGGCGACUAUCUUUUAAAAAUAACAAAGAUAAGCAAUGUUAAUAAUUAACUUAUUGUAUAACUUAAUAGUUUAACAAUUAUUAAAAUAGGCUAUAGUGACCCGUUUUUACUGAAUAAAAGGAAAAACGAUCAAUUGAUAAAAGCUACCUUAGGGAUAACAGGAUAAUUUUAUUUUAGAGUUCCU
This 486-nucleotide ribosomal RNA is filed under the name Malagazzia carolinae. RNAcentral describes it as "partial large subunit ribosomal RNA". It matches the Rfam family "Bacterial large subunit ribosomal RNA", at positions 1848 to 2503 of the family's 2925-position model. The record is from RNAcentral. Lineage: Eukaryota; Metazoa; Cnidaria; Hydrozoa; Leptothecata; Malagazziidae.